Small nuclear RNA from Suncus etruscus (white-toothed pygmy shrew), 191 nucleotides. RefSeq annotates it as U2 spliceosomal RNA. The record is from RefSeq and is a predicted model, not a curated record. The transcript has a single exon. Lineage: Eukaryota; Metazoa; Chordata; Mammalia; Eulipotyphla; Soricidae.
AUCGCUUCUCGGCCUUUUGGCUAAGAUCAAGUGUAGUAAAUGCAUUUUUUUUCAUUUGAAAAUAUAAGAAAAUGAAUAAUAGCAUUAAAUCUGUAUAAUGCCUUGGGGAGUAUUGCCAUUUUGAUGAUGUUAAUCCUGCCAAUCCACGAGCAGGGUAUGCGUUUCCAUUUCCGUGUGUCCUCUCUUAUUUC